This 253-nucleotide ribosomal RNA is filed under the name uncultured bacterium. RNAcentral describes it as "partial 16S ribosomal RNA". It matches the Rfam family "Bacterial small subunit ribosomal RNA", at positions 524 to 776 of the family's 1533-position model. The record is from RNAcentral.
UACGUAGGGGGCAAGCGUUGUCCGGAAUCAUUGGGCGUAAAGAGCUCGUAGGCGGCUUGUCGCGUCGAAUGUGAAAACCCGAGGCUCAACUUCGGGCUUGCAUUCGAUACGGGCAGGCUCGAGUUCGGUAGGGGAGACUGGAAUUCCUGGUGUAGCGGUGAAAUGCGCAGAUAUCAGGAGGAACACCGAUGGCGAAGGCAGGUCUCUGGGCCAUUACUGACACUGAGAAGCGAAAGCAUGGGGAGCGAACAGG